This 4851-nucleotide long non-coding RNA is filed under the name Populus tremula. RNAcentral's name for it is "long non-coding RNA (PTRE_LNC002966)". The record is from RNAcentral. Lineage: Eukaryota; Viridiplantae; Streptophyta; Magnoliopsida; Malpighiales; Salicaceae.
UUUCCUAUUGAUUUUUAAAUUUCAUGUGUUUCUUAUGACACUUAAUAGAUAGCAUCAUUGGCAUUGUUGACCGACUCCGAGUGUGGGAUGCCUUGAAGGUUUGAAAAUUAUUCCGGAAACAUGCAAGGAAGGGAUUGUCGAGUUGGGUUUUCUUUCGUUGAUGGUUUGAUUCUUUGAACCUUUUGUUAUUGCUUAAUUUUCCCAAAAAUUAUGUAUAUCAUUUUCCUAUUGAUUUUAAAAUUUCUUUUGUUUCUCGUGACAAUGAUAGCAUCAUUGACAUUGAUGAAAGACUUUGAGUGUCUUGAUUUAUUGAAAGAAACUAGUGGCACUCAAGUGUAUGAAGAGAGACGCCAAGAAAUAGUAUUUGAUUCCUUGAACCUUUUAUUAGUGCUUAAUUUUGCUAAAAAUUAUGUAUAUUCUUUUCCUAUUGAUUUUUAAAUUUCAUGUGUUUCUUAUGACACUUAAUAGAUAGCAUCAUUGGCAUUGUUGACCGACUCCGAGUGUGGGAUGCCUUGAAAGUUUGAAAAUUAUUCCGGAAACAUGCAAGGAAGGGAUAGUCGAGUUGGGUUUUCUUUCGUUGAUGGUUUGAUUCUUUGAACCUUUUGUUAUUGCUUAAUUUUCCCAAAAAUUAUGUAUAUCAUUUUCCUAUUGAUUUUAAAAUUUCUUUUGUUUCUCGUGACAAUGAUAGCAUCAUUGACAUUGAUGAAAGACUUUGAGUGUCUUGAUUUAUUGAAAGAAACUAGUGGCACUCAAGUGUAUGAAGAGAGACGCCAAGAAAUAGUAUUUGAUUCCUUGAACCUUUUAUUAGUGCUUAAUUUUGCUAAAAAUUAUGUAUAUUCUUUUCCUAUUGAUUUUUUAAAUUUCAUGUGUUUCUUAUGACACUUAAUAGAUAGCAUCAUUGGCAUUGUUGACCGACUCCGAGUGUGGGAUGCCUUGAAAGUUUGAAAAUUAUUCCGGAAACAUGCAAGGAAGGGAUUGUCGAGUUGGGUUUUCUUUCGUUGAUGGUUUGAUUCGUUGAACCUUUUGUUAUUGCUUAAUUUUCCCAAAAAUUAUGUAUAUCAUUUUCCUAUUGAUUUUAAAAUUUCUUUUGUUUCUCGUGACAAUGAUAGCAUGCAUCAUUGACAUUGAUGAAAGACUUUGAGUGUCUUGAUUUAUUGAAAGAAACUAGUGGCACUCAAGUGUAUGAAGAGAGACGCCAAGAAAUAGUAUUUGAUUCCUUGAACCUUUUUAUUGUGCUUAAUUUUGCUAAAAAUUAUGUAUAUUCUUUUCCUAUUGAUUUUUAAAUUUCAUGUGUUUCUUAUGACACUUAAUAGAUAGCAUCAUUGGCAUUGUUGACCGACUCCGAGUGUGGGAUGCCUUGAAAGUUUGAAAAUUAUUCCGGAAACAUGCAAGGAAGGGAUAGUCGAGUUGGGUUUUCUUUCGUUGAUGGUUUGAUUCUUGAACCUUUUGUUAUUGCUUAAUUUUCCCAAAAAUUAUGUAUAUCAUUUUCCUAUUGAUUUUAAAAUUUCUUUUGUUUCUCGUGACAAUGAUAGCAUCAUUGACAUUGAUGAAAGACUUUGAGUGUCUUGAUUUAUUGAAAGAAACUAGUGGCACUCAAGUGUAUGAAGAGAGACGCCAAGAAAUAGUAUUUGAUUCCUUGAACCUUUUAUUGUGCUUAAUUUUGCUAAAAAUUAUGUAUAUUCUUUUCCUAUUGAUUUUUAAAUUUCAUGUGUUUCUUAUGACACUUAAUAGAUAGCAUCAUUGGCAUUGUUGACCGACUCCGAGUGUGGGAUGCCUUGAAGGUUUGAAAAUUAUUCCGGAAACAUGCAAGGAAGGGAUAGUCGAGUUGGGUUUUCUUUCGUUGAUGGUUUGAUUCUUUGAACCUUUUGUUAUUGCUUAAUUUUCCCAAAAAUUAUGUAUAUCAUUUUCCUAUUGAUUUUAAAAUUUCUUUUGUUUCUCGUGACAAUGAUAGCAUCAUUGACAUUGAUGAAAGACUUUGAGUGUCUUGAUUUAUUGAAAGAAACUAGUGGCACUCAAGUGUAUGAAGAGAGACGCCAAGAAAUAGUAUUUGAUUCCUUGAACCUUUUAUUAGUGCUUAAUUUUGCUAAAAAUUAUGUAUAUUUUUUCCUAUUGAUUUUUAAUUUCAUGUGUUUCUUAUGACACUUAAUAGAUAGCAUCAUUGGCAUUGUUGACCGACUCCGAGUGUGGGAUGCCUUGAAAGUUUGAAAAUUAUUCCGGAAACAUGCAAGGAAGGGAUAGUCGAGUUGGGUUUUCUUUCGUUGAUGGUUUGAUUCUUUGAACCUUUUGUUAUUGCUUAAUUUUCCCAAAAAUUAUGUAUAUCAUUUUCCUAUUGAUUUUAAAAUUUCUUUUGUUUCUCGUGACAAUGAUAGCAUCAUUGACAUUGAUGAAAGACUUUGAGUGUCUUGAUUUAUUGAAAGAAACUAGUGGCACUCAAGUGUAUGAAGAGAGACGCCAAGAAAUAGUAUUUGAUUCCUUGAACCUUUUAUUAGUGCUUAAUUUUGCUAAAAAUUAUGUAUAUUCUUUUCCUAUUGAUUUUUAAAUUUCAUGUGUUUCUUAUGACACUUAAUAGAUAGCAUCAUUGGCAUUGUUGACCGACUCCGAGUGUGGGAUGCCUUGAAAGUUUGAAAAUUAUUCCGGAAACAUGCAAGGAAGGGAUAGUCGAGUUGGGUUUUCUUUCGUUGAUGGUUUGAUUCUUUGAACCUUUUGUUAUUGCUUAAUUUUCCCAAAAAUUAUGUAUAUCAUUUUCCUAUUGAUUUUAAAAUUUCUUUUGUUCUCGUGACAAUGAUAGCAUCAUUGACAUUGAUGAAAGACUUUGAGUGUCUUGAUUUAUUGAAAGAAACUAGUGGCACUCAAGUGUAUGAAGAGAGACGCCAAGAAAUAGUAUUUGAUUCCUUGAACCUUUUAUUAGUGCUUAAUUUUGCUAAAAAUUAUGUAUAUUCUUUUCCUAUUGAUUUUUAAAUUUCAUGUGUUUCUUAUGACACUUAAUAGAUAGCAUCAUUGGCAUUGUUGACCGACUCCGAGUGUGGGAUGCCUUGAAAGUUUGAAAAUUAUUCCGGAAACAUGCAAGGAAGGGAUAGUCGAGUUGGGUUUUCUUUCGUUGAUGGUUUGAUUCUUUGAACCUUUUGUUAUUGCUUAAUUUUCCCAAAAAUUAUGUAUAUUAUUUUCCUAUUGAUUUUAAAAUUUCUUUCGUUUCUCGUGACAAUGAUAGCAUCAUUGACAUUGAUGAAAGACUUUGAGUGUCUUGAUUUAUUGAAAGAAACUAGUGGCACUCAAGUGUAUGAACAGGUGCCAAGAAAUAAUAUUUGAUUCCUUGAACCUUUUAUUAGUGCUUAAUUUUACUUAAAAUUAUGUAUAUUCUUUCCCAAUUGAUUUUUAAAUUCCAUGUGUUUCUUAUGACACUUAAUAGAUAGCAUCAUUGGCAUUGUUGACCGACUCCGAGUGUGGGAUGCCUUGAAGGUUUGAAAAUUAUUCCGGAAACAUGCAAGGAAGGGAUAGUCGAGUUGGGUUUUCUUUCGUUGAUGGUUUGAUUCUUUGAACCUUUUGUUAUUGCUUAAUUUUCCCAAAAAUUAUGUAUAUCAUUUUCCUAUUGAUUUUAAAAUUUCUUUCGUUUCUCGUGACAAUGAUAGCAUCAUUGACAUUGAUGAAAGACUUUGAGUGUCUUGAUUUAUUGAAAGAAACUAGUGGCACUCAAGUGUAUGAAGAGAGACGCCAAGAAAUAGUAUUUGAUUCCUUGAACCUUUUAUUAGUGCUUAAUUUUGCUAAAAAUUAUGUAUAUUCUUUUCCUAUUAGAUUUUGAAUUUCAUGUGUUUCUUAUGACACUUAAUAGAUAGCAUCAUUGGCAUUGUUGACCGACUCCGAGUGUGGGAUGCCUUGAAAGUUUGAAAAUUAUUCCGGAAACAUGCAAGGAAGGGAUUGUCGAGUUGGGUUUUCUUUCGUUGAUGGUUUGAUUCUUUGAACAUUUUGUUAUUGCUUAAUUUUCCCAAAAAUUAUGUAUAUCAUUUUCCUAUUGAUUUUAAAAUUUCUUUUAUUUCUCGUGACAAUGUGAGACGCCAAGAAAUGAUAUUUGAUUCCUUGAAAUUUUUAUUAGUGCUUAAUUUUGCUAAAAAUUAUGUAUAUUCUUUUCCUAUUGAUUUUUAAAUUUCAUGUGUUUCUUAUGACACUUAAUAGAUAGCAUCAUUGGCAUUGUUGACCGACUCCGAGUGUGGGUUGCCUUGAAGGUUUGAAAAUUAUUCCGGAAGCAUGCAAGGAAGGGAUAGUCGAGUUGGGUUUUUUCUUGUUGAUGGUUUGAUUCUUUGAACCUUUUGUUAUUGCUUAAUUUUCCCAAAAAUUAUGUAUAUUUUCCUAUUGAUUUUAAAAUUUCUUUGUUUCUCGUGACAAUGAUAGCAUCAUUGACAUUGAUGAAAGACUUUGAGUGUCUUGAUUUAUUGAAAGAAACUAGUGGCACUCAAGUGUAUGAACAGGUGCCAAGAAAUAAUAUUUGAUUCCUUGAACCUUUUAUUAGUGCUUAAUUUUGCUAAAAAUUAUGUAUAUUCUUUUCCUAUUGAUUUUUAAAUUUCAUGUGUUUCUUAUGACACUUAAUAGAUAGCAUCAUUGGCAUUGUUGACCGACUCCGAGUGUGGGAUGCCUUGAAGGUUUGAAAAUUAUUCCGGAAACAUGCAAGGAAGGGAUAGUCGAGUUGGGUUUUCUUUCGUUGAUGGUUUGAUUCUUUGAACCUUUUGUUAUUGCUUAAUUUUCCCAAAAAUUAUGUAUAUCAUUUUCCUAUUGAUUUUAAAAUUUCUUUCGUUUCUCGUGACAAUGAUAGCAUCAUUGACAUUGAUGAAAGACUUUGAGUGUCUUGAUUUAUUGAAAGAA